AAAGAUUCUUACAACAUUCAAUCAAAAUAGAUAUUAAUAUAUGAAAACAUAGGUUAUUUCUAGCAUAACAUCUUUUGCGCUACUACAUCUGUUGUUCAACGUUCAAACAAUUCACAAAUCCCGCCCCACAAUUUUUGGCCCCUGUUAUACUUCAUAUCUUUUGAAUCAUUUGAUUCCACCUGGCCACUAAUUUUUGACCCUCAUAACAAAAUUCCGGUCACAAAUUUUUGACCACUACUACUCAGUUUCUUGAAUCAUUUGAUUCUACCCAGCCAUCAAUUUU
RNAcentral lists this long non-coding RNA (283 nucleotides) under Mytilus galloprovincialis (Mediterranean mussel). The record is from RNAcentral. Lineage: Eukaryota; Metazoa; Mollusca; Bivalvia; Mytilida; Mytilidae.